Molecule: ribosomal RNA, 502 nt
Filed under: uncultured bacterium
Lineage: Bacteria
Description: partial 16S ribosomal RNA
Rfam family: Bacterial small subunit ribosomal RNA
Source: RNAcentral
AUUGAACGCUGGCGGAAUGCUUUACACAUGCAAGUCGAGCGGCAGCAUAGGUGCUUGCACCUGAUGGCGAGUGGCGAACGGGUGAGUAAUACAUCGGAACGUGCCCAGUCGUGGGGGAUAACGUAGCGAAAGUUACGCUAAUACCGCAUACGAUCUAAGGAUGAAAGCGGGGGACCGUAAGGCCUCGCGCGAUUGGAGCGGCCGAUGUCAGAUUAGGUAGUUGGUGAGGUAAAGGCUCACCAAGCCGACGAUCUGUAGCUGGUCUGAGAGGACGAGCAGCCACACUGGGAGUGAGACACGGCCCAGACUCGUACGGGAAGCAGCAGUGGGGAAUUUGGGACAAUGGACGCAAGUCUGAUCCAGCCAUUCCGCGUGCAGGACGAGGGCCUUCGGGUUGUAAACUGCUUUUGUACGGAACGAAAAAGCUCUUACUAAUACUAGGAGUCCAUGACGGUACCGUAAGAAUAAGCACCGGCUAACUACGUGCCAGCCGCCGCGGUAA